RNAcentral lists this ribosomal RNA (499 nucleotides) under uncultured Glomeromycotina. RNAcentral describes it as "partial small subunit ribosomal RNA". It matches the Rfam family "Eukaryotic small subunit ribosomal RNA", at positions 591 to 1092 of the family's 1831-position model. Lineage: Eukaryota; Fungi; Glomeromycota. The record is from RNAcentral.
CCAAUAGCGUAUAUUAAAGUUGUUGCAGUUAAAAAGCUCGUAGUUGAAUUUCGAGACCGGCUUACUGGUCGUGCUAUUGUGCGUACUGGUAUAAUCGGUUUCUCCUUUCUGACGAACUAUAAUGCCAUUAAUUUGGUGUUAUAGGGAAUCAGGACUGUUACUUUGAAAAAAUUAGAGGGUUUAAAGCAGGCUCACGCUUGAAUACAUUAGCAUGGAAUAACGGAAUGGGACGUUUGAUUCUAUUUUGUUGGUUUCUAGGAUCGACGUAAUGAUUAAUAGGGAUAGUUGGGGGCAUUAGUAUUCAAUUGUCAGAGGUGAAAUUCUUGGAUUUAUUGAAGACUAACUACUGCGAAAGCAUUUGCCAAGGAUGUUUUCAUUAAUCAAGAACGAAAGUUAGGGGAUCGAAGACGAUCAGAUACCGUCGUAGUCUUAACCAUAAACUAUGCCGACUAGGGAUCGGAUGAUGUUAAUUUUUUAAUGACUCAUUCGGCGCCUUACG